UUAAGUAAGUAAGGGCGUACGGCGGAUGCCUUGGCCAUAUCAGCCGAAGAAGGACGCGAUAAGCUGCGAUAAGCUGCGGUGAGGUGCAAGUAACCAGUGACCCGCAGAUUUCCGAAUGGGGAAACCCGGCAGUAGUAGUACUGUCACCUCUCGUAUGGGAGGAGGGCACCCGGUGAACUGAAACAUCUAAGUAGCCGGAGGAAGAGGAAUCAAAAGAGAUGCCCCCAGUAGCGGCGAGCGAAGCGGGCAAAGCCCAAACCGGAGCGGGAAACCGCACCGGGGUUGAGGACUACCAACAAGUACCUAGAUGAAGUCGAAUCAGGUGGGAACCUGAGCCAGAGACGGUGAGAGCCCGGUAGACGUAAAGAAGGGUAUGGGGUAGUAUCCGGAGUACCACGGGGCACGAGGAACCUUGUGGGAAGCAGGGGGGACCACCCUCCAAGGCGAAAUACUGAUAUGGACCGAUAGCGCAGAGUACCGUGAGGGAACGGUGAAAAGAACCCCGGGAGGGGAAUGAAAGAGAACCUGAAACCGUAUGUCUACAAGCAGUCGAAGCACGAUGCAGGUGCGACGGCGUGCCUAUUGAAGAAUGAACCGGCGAGUUAUUUUUUUCGGCGAGGUUAAGCGGCAGACGCGGAGCCGAAGCGAAAGCGAGUCUGAAGAGGGCGCGAAGUCGAAAGGAAUAGACCCGAAACCACAGUGAUCUAUCCAUGCCCAGGUUGAAGCACAGGUAAAAAUGUGUGGAGGACCGAACCAGUGAGCGUUGAAAAGCUUUUGGAUGAGGUGUGGAUAGGGGUGAAAUGCCAAUCGAACGUGGAGAUAGCUGGUUCUCCCCGAAAUAGCUUUAGGGCUAGCCUCAUGAAAAGAGUACAGGCGGUAGAGCACUGAACAGGGAAGGGGCCGAGCGGUUACCGAACCUAAUCAAACUACGAAUGGCUGUACUUAUGCAUGGGAGUCAGACUGCGAGUGAUAAGACCCGUAGUCAAGAGGGAAACAGCCCAGACCAACAGCUAAGGUCCCGAAUGCCGUACUAAGUGGCAAAGGAGGUGGCGUUUCGAAAACAACCAGGAUGUUGGCUCAGAAGCAGCCAUCAUUAAAAGAGUGCGUAAUAGCUCACUGGUCGAGAGACGCGGCGCCGAAGAUGACCGGGGCUGAAGUACGGAACCGAAGCUUUGGCAUGUAUGGAGACAUACAUGGGUAGGGGAGCGUUCCUGCGUGGGAGAAGCCUGACCGGAAGGACAGGUGGACAGGCAGGAAGCGAGAAUGCCGGUAUGAGUAGCGAAAAGAAAGGUGGGAAUCCUUUCCACCGAAAGCCUAAGGGUUCCUGGGCAACGAUCGUCGACCCAGGGUAAGUCGGGGCCUAAUCCGAGGCGCAGACGCAUAGGAGAUGGACAACAGGUUGAAAUUCCUGUACCGACACCGUCCGAUAGAGCGAGGGAGUGACACAAGAAGGAACGUUCGCAUGCGAAUGGAAGAGCAUGUCCAAGCCGGUAGGUGGCGUAUCAGGCAAAUCCGGUACGCCGAAAGCCGAGAGGUGAUGGGGAGGCUGUAGGGAUACAGAGGAAGGAACGGGGACUCAAUUGUCAAGAAAAGCUUCUAGCGAGGACGGUGGCGCCCGUACCGAAACCGACACAGGUAGGCAGGACGAGAAUUCUAAGGUGCGCGGGAAACCCCUCGUUAAGGAACUCGGCAAAAUGUAUCCGUAACUUCGGGAAAAGGAUAACCCAGGGUAGGUGAAGGAUAGAAACGUCCGGAGCCGAAAUGGGUGGCACAAGAGAGGCCCAAGCGACUGUUUAGCACAAACACAGGCGUCUGCGAAAGAGAAAUCUGAAGUAUAGAUGCUGACACCUGCCCGGUGCUGGAAGGUUAAGAGGACGUGUGAGCCGCAAGGCGAAGCAGAGAAUUGAAGCCCCAGUAAACGGCGGCCGUAACUAUAACGGUCCUAAGGUAGCGAAAUUCCUUGUCGGGUAAG
Molecule: ribosomal RNA, 1972 nt
Filed under: human oral metagenome
Description: bacterial LSU rRNA
Rfam family: Bacterial large subunit ribosomal RNA
Source: RNAcentral